This 253-nucleotide ribosomal RNA is filed under the name uncultured bacterium. Its description in RNAcentral is "partial 16S ribosomal RNA". It matches the Rfam family "Bacterial small subunit ribosomal RNA", at positions 524 to 776 of the family's 1533-position model. The record is from RNAcentral.
UACAGAGGUCCCAAGCGUUGUUCGGAUUCACUGGGCGUAAAGGGCGCGUAGGCGGCCUUCUAAGUCGAACGUGAAAUCCCCGGGCUCAACCCGGGAACUGCGUCCGAUACUGGAAGGCUUGAAUCCGGGAGAGGGGUGCGGAAUUCCAGGUGUAGCGGUGAAAUGCGUAGAUAUCUGGAGGAACACCGGUGGCGAAGGCGGCAUCCUGGACCGGCAUUGACGCUGAGGCGCGAAAGCCAGGGGAGCAAACGGG